UACGGGGGGGGCAAGCGUUGUUCGGAAUUACUGGGCGUAAAGGGCUCGUAGGUGGCCCACUACGUCAGCCGUGAAAUCCCUCGGCUUAACCGUGGAACUGCGUCUGAUACUGGAUGGCUUGAGUUCGGGAGAGGGAUGCGGAAUUCCAGGUGUAGCGGUGAAAUGCGUAGAUAUCUGGAGGAACACCGGUGGCGAAGGCGGCCUGCUGGGCAGUUGCUGACGCUGAGGCGCGACAGCGUGGGGAGCAAACAGG
RNAcentral lists this ribosomal RNA (253 nucleotides) under uncultured bacterium. RNAcentral's name for it is "partial 16S ribosomal RNA". It matches the Rfam family "Bacterial small subunit ribosomal RNA", at positions 524 to 776 of the family's 1533-position model. The record is from RNAcentral.